UAAGAACUGUAAACGCCUCCACCUAAAAUGU
RNAcentral lists this non-coding RNA (31 nucleotides) under Mus musculus (house mouse). The record is from RNAcentral. Lineage: Eukaryota; Metazoa; Chordata; Mammalia; Rodentia; Muridae.